CUCCUACGGGAGGCAGCAGUGGGGAAUUUCGGACAAUGGGCGAAAGCCUGAUCCAGCCAUGCCGCGUGAGUGAAGAAGGCCUUCGGGUUGUAAAGCUCUUUUAGUCGGAAAGAAAGAGUUGCAAUGAAUAAUUGUGAUUUAUGACGGUACCGACAGAAAAAGCACCGGCUAACUACGUGCCAGCGCCGCGGUAA
RNAcentral lists this ribosomal RNA (194 nucleotides) under uncultured Nitrosomonas sp. RNAcentral describes it as "partial 16S ribosomal RNA". It matches the Rfam family "Bacterial small subunit ribosomal RNA", at positions 336 to 523 of the family's 1533-position model. Lineage: Bacteria; Pseudomonadati; Pseudomonadota; Betaproteobacteria; Nitrosomonadales; Nitrosomonadaceae. The record is from RNAcentral.